GCAAGUCGAAGUUCAGUGAAUAAUGCAACCGAAUAUACAAACAGUUAGGGAUUUAAAUCGUUGAGAGGGUUACAUUCUGAACAUAGCAGCACCAGUCGAACUAGUGAGACCGAAGAAAGUAAUAAGAAGUCGCAUUUAUAUUCAGAAAAGUGUUGACGCUUCGUUUUCUGGAAUGCUACAAACAUAGGUUAAUGGUUCCUCCACUUAUAAUUCCUCGUUUCGAGAAGGCGCCGUCGGGGGUAAGAAGAAGCCGGCUAAUAGUGCAACACCCUUGAGACAUGGAAAAAAAUAAGAUGAAAACUAUUAUGUAUGUGAAAUAAGAUGAAAACUAUUAUGUAUAUGAAGAAGAAAAUAAAAGAAUAUACAUCACACUAUAAGCUUAAUUGGGUGUUAGAUAUAAAAUCAAUGUAAGUCAAAAGUGUUUUUCUUUUUAUUAUAAAUAUGCUUAGAUUCGUCCUGGAGUUAUAAGAAUUAUGAUAUUUUUAAGUUACCUUAAUUAUUUGAAUGAUGACUGUUGUGUAAAUUAUGAAAUUUAAAAUAGGUGUAGAAAUGUUGGCAAUAAAAUAAUAUUAUAUUUCAAUAAUAUAGGAACACAUCUA
Eupeodes corollae is the source of this 599-nucleotide long non-coding RNA. RefSeq lists it as uncharacterized. The transcript has 2 exons. NCBI's taxonomy places the organism in Eukaryota, Metazoa, Arthropoda, Insecta, Diptera, Syrphidae. The record is from RefSeq and is a predicted model, not a curated record.